GAGUUUGAUCCUGGCUCAGGACGAACGCUGGCGGCAUGGCUAAUACCUGGAAGUCGAACGAACUUUCCUUUUGAUUGAUGCUUGCAUCAUGAUUUAUAUCUAACUGAGUGGCGGACGGGGGAGUAACACGGGGGUAACCUGCCCAGAAGUGGGGGAUAACAUUUGAAAACAAGUGUUAAUACCGCAUAACAACUUUAAUCACUUGUUUUUUGUUUAAAAGAUGGUUUUGCUAUCUCUUCUGGAUGGACCCGCGGCGUAUUAGCUAGUUGGUGAGGUAAUAGCUCACCAAGGCGAUGAUACGUAGCCGACCUGAGAGGGCAAUCGGCCACAUUGGGACUGAGACACGGCCCAAACUCCUACGGGAGGCAGCAGUAGGGAAUCUUCCACAAUGGACGAAAGUCUGAUGGAGCAAUGCCGCGUGAGUGAAGAAGGCUUUCGGAUCGUAAAACUCUGUUGUUGAAGAAGAACAUAUGUGAGAGUAACGUGUUGCACGUACUGACGGUAUUCAACCAGAAAGGCCACGGCUAACUACGUKCCAGGCAAGCCGCGGUAAUAUCGUUAGGGGGCAAGCGUUGUCCGGAAUUUAUUGGGCUGUAAAGAGAAUGUAGGCGGCUUCAUUAAGUUUGAAGUGAAUAGCCCUCGGCUCAACGCGAGGAAGUGCUUCGAAAACUGGUGAACUUGAGUGCAGAAGAGGAAAGUGGAAUCUCCAUGUGUAGCGGUGAGAAAUGCGUAGAUAUAUGGAAGAACCACCAGUGGCGAAGGCGACUCUCUGUUGUCUGUAACUGACGCUGAGAUUCGAAAGCAUGGGUAGCAGACAGGAUUAGAUACCCUGUGAUAGUCCAUGCCGUAAACGAUGAGUGCUAAGUGUUGGAGGGUUUCCGCCUUUCAGUGCUGCAGCUAACGCAUUAAGCACUCCGCCUGGGGAGUUACGAUCGCAAGAUUGAAACUCAAAGGAAUUGACUGGGGGCCCGCACAAACGGUGGAGCAUGUGGUUUAAUUCGAAGCAACGGCGAAGAACCUUCACCAGGUCUUGACAUAUCCAUCGAAAAGCUAAGAGAUUAGUCUUUCCCUUUGGGGACAUGGAUACAGGUGACACAUGGUUGUUGUCAUCUCGUGUCGUGAGAUGUUGGGUUAAGUCCCGCAACGAGCGCAACCCUUUUUAUCAGCUCACAGCAUUCAGUUGGGCUCUGUGGUGAGACUCGCGGUGAUAAACCGGAGGAAGGUGGGGACGACGUCAAAUCAUCAUGCCCCUUAUGACGUGGGCUACACACGUGCUACAAUGGUCGGUACAAGGUGUUGAGAACUCGAGAGGGCAAGCAAAUCAUUUAAACCCGAUCUCAGUUCGGAUCGCAGGCUGCAUCUCGCGUACAUGAAGCUGGAAUCUAUAGUAAUCGCGGAUCAGCAUGCCGCGGUGAAUACGUUCCCGGGCCUUGUACACACCGCCCGUCACCCCAUGAGAGUUUGUCACACCCAAAGUCGGUGGGGUAACCCUUCGGGGAACUAGCCGCCUAAGGUGGGACAAAUGAUUAGGGUGAAGUCGUAACAAGGUAACCA
This 1554-nucleotide ribosomal RNA is filed under the name uncultured Lactobacillus sp. RNAcentral's name for it is "bacterial SSU rRNA". It matches the Rfam family "Bacterial small subunit ribosomal RNA". Lineage: Bacteria; Bacillati; Bacillota; Bacilli; Lactobacillales; Lactobacillaceae. The record is from RNAcentral.